CUGCCAUCGGGCCGGUGCAGAUACGGGGUUGCUCUUUUGCUCAUAAGAGGGGCUUCGCUGGCAGUCUGAACGGCAAGCUUGAGUCAGGACCCUUAAUUAAGAUCCUCAAUUGGCUGGAGGGCAGAUCUCGCGAGUAGGAGCCAGAGGCCAAGAAGAGUAAGACGGCCGCAAAGAAAAAUGACAAAGAGGCAGCAGGAGAGGGCCCAGCCCUGUAUGAGGACCCCCCAGAUCAGAAAACCUCACCCAGUGGCAAACCUGCCACACUCAAGAUCUGCUCUUGGAAUGUGGAUGGGCUUCGAGCCUGGAUUAAGAAGAAAGGAUUAGAUUGGGUAAAGGAAGAAGCCCCAGAUAUACUGUGCCUUCAAGAGACCAAAUGUUCAGAGAACAAACUACCAGCUGAACUUCAGGAGCUGCCUGGACUCUCUCAUCAAUACUGGUCAGCUCCUUCGGACAAGGAAGGGUACAGUGGCGUGGGCCUGCUUUCCCGCCAGUGCCCACUCAAAGUUUCUUACGGCAUAGGCGAGGAGGAGCAUGAUCAGGAAGGCCGGGUGAUUGUGGCUGAAUUUGACUCGUUUGUGCUGGUAACAGCAUAUGUACCUAAUGCAGGCCGAGGUCUGGUACGACUGGAGUACCGGCAGCGCUGGGAUGAAGCCUUUCGCAAGUUCCUGAAGGGCCUGGCUUCCCGAAAGCCCCUUGUGCUGUGUGGAGACCUCAAUGUGGCACAUGAAGAAAUUGACCUUCGCAACCCCAAGGGGAACAAAAAGAAUGCUGGCUUCACGCCACAAGAGCGCCAAGGCUUCGGGGAAUUACUGCAGGCUGUGCCACUGGCUG
Molecule: small RNA, 831 nt
Filed under: Pan troglodytes (chimpanzee)
Lineage: Eukaryota; Metazoa; Chordata; Mammalia; Primates; Hominidae
Description: processed transcript
Source: RNAcentral